UUGAAGGAGUAAAGUGAGUUAUCUUAAUUUAGUAUUUUUUUAAAAAAAAAGCUAUAUUGUACUCAGAAAAUAUUUGAACUGUUUUGAAAAAGAUGAUGCAUCAGACUGUAUUAUCAUCAUUUGCAAGCAGUGAAUUUGAAUUAUAAUUAA
Molecule: long non-coding RNA, 150 nt
Organism: Ipomoea nil (Japanese morning glory)
Lineage: Eukaryota; Viridiplantae; Streptophyta; Magnoliopsida; Solanales; Convolvulaceae
Exons: 3
Source: RefSeq, a predicted model, not a curated record